GAUGAAGAACGCAGCGAAAUGCGAUAAGUAAUGCGAAUUGCAGAAUUUCCGUGAGUCAUCGAAUCUUUGAACGCACAUUGCGCCCAUUGGUAUUCCGAUGGGCAUGCCUGUUCGAGCGUCAUUAUCCUCCCUCAAACCUCGGGUUUGGUGUUGGACCCAAGUUGUGCGAUGAACAACUGGUCUUAAAGACAAUGACGGCGUCCGUGGGACCCUCGAUGCAACGAGCUUCUCAGGAGCACGCGUCGAGUUUCAAGGACCUUCCGGGCCGGUCUCUCCUCAUGAUAUUACAAGGUUGACCUCGGAUCAGGUAGGGAUACCCGCUGAACUUAAGCAUAUCAAUAAGCGGAGGA
Molecule: unclassified non-coding RNA, 350 nt
Filed under: soil metagenome
Description: partial contains 5.8S ribosomal RNA, internal transcribed spacer 2, and large subunit ribosomal RNA
Rfam family: 5.8S ribosomal RNA (bases 1-121)
Source: RNAcentral